CUUGCACCUGGUGGCGAGUGGUGAACGGGUGAGUAAUACAUCGGAACGUACCUUAUCGUGGGGGAUAACGCAGCGAAAGCUGUGCUAAUACCGCAUACGCCCUGAGGGGGAAAGCGGGGGAUCGAAAGACCUCGCGCGAUUAGAGCGGCCGAUGCCUGAUUAGCUUGUUGGUGGGGUAAAAGCCCACCAAGGCGACGAUCAGUAGCUGGUCUGAGAGGACGAUCAGCCACACUGGGACUGAGACACGGCCCAGACUCCUACGGGAGGCAGCAGUGGGGAAUUUUGGACAAUGGGGGAAACCCUGAUCCAGCAAUGCCGCGUGAGUGAAGAAGGCCUUCGGGUUGUAAAGCUCUUUUGUCAGGGAAGAAACACCGGCUCUAACACAGUCCGGGAAUGACGGUACCUGAAGAAUAAGCACCGGCUAACUACGUGCCAGCAGCCGCGGUAAUACGUAGGGUGCGAGCGUUAAUCGGAAUUACUGGGCGUAAAGCGUGCGCAGGCGGUUAUACAAGACAGGCGUGAAAUCCCCGGGCUUAACCUGGGAAUGGCGCCUGUGACUGUAUAGCUAGAGUGUGUCAGAGGGGGGUAGAAUUCCACGUGUAGCAGUGAAAUGCGUAGAUAUGUGGAGGAAUACCAAUGGCGAAGGCAGCCCCCUGGGAUAACACUGACGCUCAUGCACGAAAGCGUGGGGAGCAAACAG
Molecule: ribosomal RNA, 700 nt
Filed under: uncultured beta proteobacterium
Lineage: Bacteria; Pseudomonadati; Pseudomonadota; Betaproteobacteria
Description: bacterial SSU rRNA
Rfam family: Bacterial small subunit ribosomal RNA
Source: RNAcentral